RNAcentral lists this ribosomal RNA (138 nucleotides) under uncultured bacterium. RNAcentral's name for it is "partial 16S ribosomal RNA". It matches the Rfam family "Bacterial small subunit ribosomal RNA", at positions 355 to 509 of the family's 1533-position model. The record is from RNAcentral.
UAGGGAAUAUUGGACAAUGGGCGAAAGCCUGAUCCAGCAAUGCCGCGUGAGUGAUGAAGGCCUUAGGGUUGUAAAGCUCUUUUACCCGGGAUGAUAAUGACAGUACCGGGACGAAUAAGCCCCGGCUAACUCCGUGCC